UUGGAGGGCAAGUCUGGUGCCAGCAGCCGCGGUAAUUCCAGCUCCAAUAGCGUAUAUUAAAGUUGUUGCAGUUAAAAAGCUCGUAGUUGAAUUUUAGGCCCGGUUGGACGGUCUGCCUUUGGGUUUGUACUGUCCUGACUGGGCCUUACCUUCUGGUGAGCUGUCGUGUUGUUUACUCAGCGCGGCAGGGAACCAGGACUUUUACUUUGAAAAAAUUAGAGUGUUUAAAGCAGGCAUUCGCUUGAAUACAUUAGCAUGGAAUAAUAGAAUAGGACUUUGGUUCUAUUUUGUUGGUUUCUAGGACCGAAGUAAUGAUUAAUAGGGAUAGUUGGGGGCAUUAGUAUUUAAUUGUCAGAGGUGAAAUUCUUGGAUUUAUGAAAGACUAACUUCUGCGAAAGCAUUUGCCAAGGAUGUUUUCAUUAAUCAAGAACGAAAGUUAGGGGAUCGAAGACGAUCAGAUACCGUCGUAGUCUUAACCAUAAACUAUGCCGACUAGGGAUCAGACAAGGAUAUUUUGACUUGUUCGGCACCUUACGGGAAAC
This 542-nucleotide ribosomal RNA is filed under the name uncultured Mortierella. RNAcentral's name for it is "SSU rRNA". It matches the Rfam family "Eukaryotic small subunit ribosomal RNA", at positions 548 to 1098 of the family's 1831-position model. The record is from RNAcentral. Lineage: Eukaryota; Fungi; Mortierellomycota; Mortierellomycetes; Mortierellales; Mortierellaceae.